This 72-nucleotide transfer RNA is filed under the name Caldalkalibacillus horti. Its description in RNAcentral is "tRNA-Gly". It matches the Rfam family "tRNA". Rfam says of the family: Transfer RNA (tRNA) molecules are approximately 80 nucleotides in length. Their secondary structure includes four short double-helical elements and three loops (D, anti-codon, and T loops). Lineage: Bacteria; Bacillati; Bacillota; Bacilli; Caryophanales; Bacillaceae. The record is from RNAcentral.
GCGGAAAUAGCUCAGUGGUAGAGCGUCGCCUUGCCAAGGCGAAGGUCGCGGGUUCGACCCCCGUUUUCCGCU